CAGUGAGGAAUAUUGGACAAUGGAUGGAAAUCUGAUCCAGCCAUGCCGCGUGCAGGAAGACGGCCCUAUGGGUUGUAAACUGCUUUUGUAUGGGAGCAAUAAGGGCUACGUGUAGUCCGAUGAGAGUACCAUACGAAUAAGCACCGGCUAACUCCGUGCCAGCAGCCGCGGUAAUACGGAGGGUGCAAGCGUUAUCCGGAUUUAUUGGGUUUAAAGGGUGCGUAGGCGGUUUGAUAAGUCAGCGGUGAAAUAUUUCAGCUUAACUGGAAGGGUGCCGUUGAUACUGUCGAGCUUGAAUUUAGUUGCUGUGGGUGGAAUGUGUGGUGUAGCGGUGAAAUGCAUAGAUAUCACACAGAAUAUCGAUUGCGAAGGCAGCUCACAAAGCUAAUAUUGACGCUGAUGCACGAAAGUGUGGGGAUCAAACAGGAUUAG
This 432-nucleotide ribosomal RNA is filed under the name uncultured bacterium. Its description in RNAcentral is "bacterial SSU rRNA". It matches the Rfam family "Bacterial small subunit ribosomal RNA", at positions 352 to 781 of the family's 1533-position model. The record is from RNAcentral.